UAACGUCCGUCGUGAAGAGGGAAACAACCCAGACCGCCAGCUAAGGUCCCAAAGUCAUGGUUAAGUGGGAAACGAUGUGGGAAGGCCCAGACAGCCAGGAUGUUGGCUUAGAAGCAGCCAUCAUUUAAAGAAAGCGUAAUAGCUCACUGGUCGAGUCGGCCUGCGCGGAAGAUGUAACGGGGCUAAACCAUGCACCGAAGCUGCGGCAGCGACGCUUAUGCGUUGUUGGGUAGGGGAGCGUUCUGUAAGCCUGUGAAGGUGUGCUGUGAGGCAUGCUGGAGGUAUCAGAAGUGCGAAUGCUGACAUAAGUAACGAUAAAGCGGGUGAAAAGCCCGCUCGCCGGAAGACCAAGGGUUCCUGUCCAACGUUAAUCGGGGCAGGGUGAGUCGACCCCUAAGGCGAGGCCGAAAGGCGUAGUCGAUGGGAAACAGGUUAAUAUUCCUGUACUUGGUGUUACUGCGAAGGGGGGACGGAGAAGGCUAUGUUGGCCGGGCGACGGUUGUCCCGGUUUAAGCGUGUAGGCUGGUUUUCCAGGCAAAUCCGGAAAAUCAAGGCUGAGGCGUGAUGACGAGGCACUACGGUGCUGAAGCAACAAAUGCCCUGCUUCCAGGAAAAGCCUCUAAGCAUCAGGUAACAUCAAAUCGUACCCCAAACCGACACAGGUGGUCAGGUAGAGAAUACCAAGGCGCUUGAGAGAACUCGGGUGAAGGAACUAGGCAAAAUGGUGCCGUAACUUCGGGAGAAGGCACGCUGAUAUGUAGGUGAAGUCCCUUGCGGAUGGAGCUGAAAUCAGUCGAAGAUACCAGCUGGCUGCAACUGUUUAUUAAAAACACAGCACUGUGCAAACACGAAAGUGGACGUAUACGGUGUGACGCCUGCCCGGUGCCGGAAGGUUAAUUGAUGGGGUUAGCGCAAGCGAAGCUCUUGAUCGAAGCCCCGGUAAACGGCGGCCGUAACUAUAACGGUCCUAAGGUAGCGAAAUUCCUUGUCGGGUAAGUUCCGACCUGCACGAAUGGCGUAAUGAUGGCCAGGCUGUCUCCACCCGAGACUCAGUGAAAUUGAACUCGCUGUGAAGAUGCAGUGUACCCGCGGCAAGACGGAAAGACCCCGUGAACCUUUACUAUAGCUUGACACUGAACAUUGAGCCUUGAUGUGUAGGAUAGGUGGGAGGCUUGGAAGUGUGGACGCCAGUCUGCAUGGAGCCGACCUUGAAAUACCACCCUUUAAUGUUUGAUGUUCUAACGUUGACCCGUAAUCCGGGUUGCGGACAGUGUCUGGUGGGUAGUUUGACUGGGGCGGUCUCCUCCUAAAGAGUAACGGAGGAGCACGAAGGUUGGCUAAUCCUGGUCGGACAUCAGGAGGUUAGUGCAAUGGCAUAAGCCAGCUUGACUGCGAGCGUGACGGCGCGAGCAGGUGCGAAAGCAGGUCAUAGUGAUCCGGUGGUUCUGAAUGGAAGGGCCAUCGCUCAACGGAUAAAAGGUACUCCGGGGAUAACAGGCUGAUACCGCCCAAGAGUUCAUAUCGACGGCGGUGUUUGGCACCUCGAUGUCGGCUCAUCACAUCCUGGGGCUGAAGUAGGUCCCAAGGGUAUGGCUGUUCGCCAUUUAAAGUGGUACGCGAGCUGGGUUUAGAACGUCGUGAGACAGUUCGGUCCCUAUCUGCCGUGGGCGCUGGAGAACUGAGGGGGGCUGCUCCUAGUACGAGAGGACCGGAGUGGACGCAUCACUGGUGUUCGGGUUGUCAUGCCAAUGGCACUGCCCGGUAGCUAAAUGCGGAAGAGAUAAGUGCUGAAAGCAUCUAAGCACGAAACUUGCC
This 1815-nucleotide ribosomal RNA is filed under the name Escherichia coli. Its description in RNAcentral is "partial 23S ribosomal RNA". It matches the Rfam family "Bacterial large subunit ribosomal RNA", at positions 999 to 2798 of the family's 2925-position model. The record is from RNAcentral. Lineage: Bacteria; Pseudomonadati; Pseudomonadota; Gammaproteobacteria; Enterobacterales; Enterobacteriaceae.